GGGUUGUGAGGUUAAGCGACUAAGCGUACACGGUGGAUGCCCUGGCAGUCAGAGGCGAUGAAGGACGUGCUAAUCUGCGAUAAGCGUCGGUAAGGUGAUAUGAACCGUUAUAACCGGCGAUUUCCGAAUGGGGAAACCCAGUGUGAUUCGUCACACUAUCAUUAACUGAAUCCAUAGGUUAAUGAGGCGAACCGGGGGAACUGAAACAUCUAAGUACCCCGAGGAAAAGAAAUCAACCGAGAUUCCCCCAGUAGCGGCGAGCGAACGGGGAGCAGCCCAGAGCCUGAAUCAGUGUGUGUGUUAGUGGAAGCGUCUGGAAAGGCGCGCGAUACAGGGUGACAGCCCCGUACACAAAAAUGCACAUAUUGUGAGCUCGAUGAGUAGGGCGGGACACGUGGUAUCCUGUCUGAAUAUGGGGGGCCCAUCCUCCAAGGCUAAAUACUCCUGACUGACCGAUAGUGAACCAGUACCGUGAGGGAAAGGCGAAAAGAACCCCGGCGAGGGGAGUGAAAAAGAACCUGAAACCGUGUACGUACAAGCAGUGGGAGCACGCUUAGGCGUGUGACUGCGUACCUUUUGUAUAAUGGGUCAGCGACUUAUAUUCUGUAGCAAGGUUAACCGAAUAGGGGAGCCGAAGGGAAACCGAGUCUUAACUGGGCGUUAAGUUGCAGGGUAUAGACCCGAAACCCGGUGAUCUAGCCAUGGGCAGGUUGAAGGUUGGGUAACACUAACUGGAGGACCGAACCGACUAAUGUUGAAAAAUUAGCGGAUGACUUGUGGCUGGGGGUGAAAGGCCAAUCAAACCGGGAGAUAGCUGGUUCUCCCCGAAAGCUAUUUAGGUAGCGCCUCGUGAAUUCAUCUCCGGGGGUAGAGCACUGUUUCGGCAAGGGGGUCAUCCCGACUUACCAACCCGAUGCAAACUGCGAAUACCGGAGAAUGUUAUCACGGGAGACACACGGCGGGUGCUAACGUCCGUCGUGAAGAGGGAAACAACCCAGACCGCCAGCUAAGGUCCCAAAGUCAUGGUUAAGUGGGAAACGAUGUGGGAAGGCCCAGACAGCCAAGGAUGUUGGCUUAGAAGCAGCCAUCAUUUAAAGAAAGCGUAAUAGCUCACUGGUCGAGUCGGCCUGCGCGGAAGAUGUAACGGGGCUAAACCAUGCACCGAAGCUGCGGCAGCGACGCUUAUGCGUUGUUGGGUAGGGGAGCGUUCUGUAAGCCUGCGAAGGUGUGCUGUGAGGCAUGCUGGAGGUAUCAGAAGUGCGAAUGCUGACAUAAGUAACGAUAAAGCGGGUGAAAAGCCCGCUCGCCGGAAGACCAAGGGUUCCUGUCCAACGUUAAUCGGGGCAGGGUGAGUCGACCCCUAAGGCGAGGCCGAAAGGCGUAGUCGAUGGGAAACAGGUUAAUAUUCCUGUACUUGGUGUUACUGCGAAGGGGGGACGGAGAAGGCUAUGUUGGCCGGGCGACGGUUGUCCCGGUUUAAGCGUGUAGGCUGGUUUUCCAGGCAAAUCCGGAAAAUCAAGGCUGAGGCGUGAUGACGAGGCACUACGGUGCUGAAGCAACAAAUGCCCUGCUUCCAGGAAAAGCCUCUAAGCAUCAGGUAACAUCAAAUCGUACCCCAAACCGACACAGGUGGUCAGGUAGAGAAUACCAAGGCGCUUGAGAGAACUCGGGUGAAGGAACUAGGCAAAAUGGUGCCGUAACUUCGGGAGAAGGCACGCUGAUAUGUAGGUGAAGUCCCUUGCGGAUGGAGCUGAAAUCAGUCGAAGAUACCAGCUGGCUGCAACUGUUUAUUAAAAACACAGCACUGUGCAAACACGAAAGUGGACGUAUACGGUGUGACGCCUGCCCGGUGCCGGAAGGUUAAUUGAUGGGGUCAGCGCAAGCGAAGCUCUUGAUCGAAGCCCCGGUAAACGGCGGCCGUAACUAUAACGGUCCUAAGGUAGCGAAAUUCCUUGUCGGGUAAGUUCCGACCUGCACGAAUGGCGUAAUGAUGGCCAGGCUGUCUCCACCCGAGACUCAGUGAAAUUGAACUCGCUGUGAAGAUGCAGUGUACCCGCGGCAAGACGGAAAGACCCCGUGAACCUUUACUAUAGCUUGACACUGAACAUUGAGCCUUGAUGUGUAGGAUAGGUGGGAGGCUUUGAAGUGUGGACGCCAGUCUGCAUGGAGCCGGCCUUGAAAUACCACCCUUUAAUGUUUGAUGUUCUAACGUGGACCCGUGAUCCGGGUUGCGGACAGUGUCUGGUGGGUAGUUUGACUGGGGCGGUCUCCUCCUAAAGAGUAACGGAGGAGCACGAAGGUUGGCUAAUCUGGUCGGACAUCAGGAGGUUAGUGCAAUGGCAUAAGCCAGCUUGACUGCGAGCGUGACGGCGCGAGCAGGUGCGAAAGCAGGUCAUAGUGAUCCGGUGGUUCUGAAUGGAAGGGCCAUCGCUCAACGGAUAAAAGGUACUCCGGGGAUAACAGGCUGAUACCGCCCAAGAGUUCAUAUCGACGGCGGUGUUUGGCACCUCGAUGUCGGCUCAUCACAUCCUGGGGCUGAAGUAGGUCCCAAGGGUAUGGCUGUUCGCCAUUUAAAGUGGUACGCGAGCUGGGUUUAGAACGUCGUGAGACAGUUCGGUCCCUAUCUGCCGUGGGCGCUGGAGAACUGAGGGGGGCUGCUCCUAGUACGAGAGGACCGGAGUGGACGCAUCACUGGUGUUCGGGUUGUCAUGCCAAUGGCACUGCCCGGUAGCUAAAUGCGGAAGAGAUAAGUGCUGAAAGCAUCUAAGCACGAAACUUGCCCCGAGAUGAGUUCUCCCUGACCCUUUAAGGGUCCUGAAGGAACGUUGAAGACGACGACGUUGAUAGGCCGGGUGUGUAAGCGCAGCGAUGCGUUGAGCUAACCGGUACUAAUGAACCGUGAGGCUUAACCUUACAACGCCGAAG
This 2925-nucleotide ribosomal RNA is filed under the name Shigella sonnei. RNAcentral's name for it is "23S ribosomal RNA". It matches the Rfam family "Bacterial large subunit ribosomal RNA". Lineage: Bacteria; Pseudomonadati; Pseudomonadota; Gammaproteobacteria; Enterobacterales; Enterobacteriaceae. The record is from RNAcentral.